UUUAAAUUUUAUUUAGCAAAUAGCCCACCCCUCUCACACCAAGCCCCUGUUUGCUGUUCUCUCUCUUCUUCUGUCCCCACUGUCCCUCCCUCCAUUUCCGUUCCCAAAGAGUGCCCCCCAUCUCCUGCCAGGCAAACCCCAUUGAUGGAGUCGCCCUGCCUUCCAGACCCGGCCAGUAGAGCCCUGCCUCAGGAAAGCAGCCCAAAGGCCUCUGGGAGUUGAAGCAGACCAAGCUGAGUGUGAACCAUCUCUUGGAAGAGAUGGUUCCUGAAAUGAGAUCGGCUGGCCAGCUGGGAGCCAUUCUUCGCUGCCACAGACAAUGGGCAGCUAAUGACAAUGGUUCCGGGACUGGAGACCCCUGAGAUUUGGGGUGUCCUGCCCCCACGCUGAUGGGGGGGAACCAAGUGCCACCCCCUUGCCACAGGCUCCCCCUCCCGCCCCCUCCCCCCACCUUCUGUUCCCACCAGUGCUUAUUGUUCCUGGUGCCACUGGGAGGGAGACAGGAGGGUCCAACCUUAGUCACUGUCUAAGCGAGCAGCGAAGUUUGGUGAUCCCUCAAUCCCCUGACCAUCCUUCAUCUGGAGGCUGGCUGAGCCCCCCUGAUGACUAAGCAGCCAGAAGGGAGUACCCGAGUGCUAGUGAGCCGGGCCCUACACAAAGUGGCAUCGGCAUCCUCGCCACCACCAUAUUUACUGCUACGUUGGACCACUUCUGCCUCCAACCUACCCUGAAGCCGUGUGUGCCCGGCUCUCCACCUCCACGGCUUCACCCUGGCCUCCUCUCUCGCCUGGACCCUGUGCUAGCCUCCCAGGGCAUCCCCUUGAUUCCACUCAGGCCUGCACGGAGGCAGAGAGGCUUUUAAAAACAUAGAUGCGAACAUGUCAGGCCCCCAUCGAAAACCUCUUCAAUGGCUCCCUGUUGCACCUAGAGCAAAAUACCCACUCCUCGCCAUGGCCCAAGAGGCCCUGCCUGUCUGUCCAGCCUCACCCUGAGUGACUCUCCCUCCCCCACGACCCCACAACUGCCCUGGCCUCCCUUCAGUCCCUCAGAACUCCAGCAUCCUCCACCUCCAAGGUCAGGAGCCAGCACAGCCUCAGUCUCCGCCCGAAGCUCAGGGCCGCACAGCUGCUACCCACACAGGAGAGUCUGGCGGCGGGCACAGUCACGAGCUCCGGCCUGGAGCUCACCCUCCUGCUCGGGAACCCCUGCUCAGUCAUGGAAACACAGGAAGCUCUCCUGAGCCUGGGCGAGGACCCCGCAUCGCUGCCCACUUUCCCAGGAUGGGCGUUGAUUUCCCACGGAUCUCGUGACGCAGUGGUUCUCAGCCAGAGGCAAAGCCAUCCCCCAGGGGACAUUUGGCAAUGUAGCCAGACAUUUUGAGUUGUCACAACUGGAGCAGUGCUAUUGGAUGCUGCCAACCAUCCCGCCGAGCCCAGGACAGCCCCGCCACACGGAAUCAUCUGGUCCAAAAUGUCAACAACGUCGAGAUGGAGAAAUUCGGGCCUGGAGCAUU
Molecule: long non-coding RNA, 1513 nt
Organism: Ailuropoda melanoleuca (giant panda)
Lineage: Eukaryota; Metazoa; Chordata; Mammalia; Carnivora; Ursidae
Exons: 3
Source: RefSeq, a predicted model, not a curated record